UCUGCUUAGUAGUGGGGGAUAACUGCCCGAAAGGUAAGCUAAUACCGCAUACGUCCUACGGGAGAAAGCAGGGGACCUUCGGGCCUUGCGCUAUUGGAUGAGCCUAGGUCGGAUUAGUUAGUUGGUGAGGUAAAGGCUCACCAAGGCGACGAUCAAUAGCUGGUCUGAGAGGACGACCAGCCACACUGGAACUGAGACACGGUCCAGACUCCUACGGGAGGCAGCAGUGGGGAAUUUUGGACAAUGGGGGCAACCCUGAUCCAGCCAUGCCGCGUGCGGGAAGAAGGCCUUCGGGUUGUAAACCGCUUUUGUCAGGGACGAAAAGCUCCGGAGUAAUAUGCCGGAGUGCUGACGGUACCUGAAGAAUAAGCACCGGCUAAUUACGUGCCAGCAGCCGCGGUAAUACGUAGGGUGCAAGCGUUAAUCGGAAUUACUGGGCGUAAAGCGUGCGCAGGCGGUUGGGUAAGACAGAUGUGAAAUCCCCGGGCUUAACCUGGGAACUGCAUUUGUGACUGUCCGACUGGAGUACGUCAGAGGGGGGUGGAAUUCCACGUGUAGCAGUGAAAUGCGUAGAUAUGUGGAAGAACACCGAUGGCGAAGGCAGCCCCCUGGGACGCAACUGACGCUCAUGCACGAAAGCGUGGGGAGCAAACAGGAUUAGAUACCCUGGUAGUCCACGCCCUAAACGAUGUCUGCUG
Molecule: ribosomal RNA, 698 nt
Filed under: uncultured bacterium
Lineage: Bacteria
Description: bacterial SSU rRNA
Rfam family: Bacterial small subunit ribosomal RNA
Source: RNAcentral